This 157-nucleotide non-coding RNA is filed under the name uncultured Prevotella sp. Lineage: Bacteria; Pseudomonadati; Bacteroidota; Bacteroidia; Bacteroidales; Prevotellaceae. The record is from RNAcentral.
AAUCGGUUCACCCUUUGGGUGAUGAAAAGGGAAUCGGGUGAGAAUCCCGGACAGUCCCGCUGCUGUAAGCCGUCCUUAUCGGAGCAGACACGAAGUCACUGAGAUUAUCGGGAAGACGUCUGCUGCCAGACGGUAAGUCAGAAGACCUGCCGAUGAC